Molecule: ribosomal RNA, 352 nt
Filed under: uncultured bacterium
Lineage: Bacteria
Description: bacterial SSU rRNA
Rfam family: Bacterial small subunit ribosomal RNA
Source: RNAcentral
AGAGUUUGAUUCUGGCUCAGGACGAACGCUGGCGGCGUGCUUAACACAUGCAAGUCGAACGAGAGGAGAAGAGAAGCUUGCUUCUUUUCGAAUCGAGUGGCAAACGGGUGAGUAACACGUAAACAACCUGCCUUCAGGAUGGGGACAACAGACGGAAACGACUGCUAAUACCGAAUACGCUCAAAGGGCCGCAUGGCCUAUUGAGGAAAGGGUGGCCUCUACCUGUAAGCUAUCGCCUGAAGAGGGGUUUGCGUCUGAUUAGGCAGUUGGUGAGGUAACGGCCCACCAAACCUACGAUCAGUAGCCGGUCUGAGAGGAUGAACGGCCACACUGGAACUGAGACACGGUCCAG